UAGUGAACAUUUAUCAAAACUUAAUCAGCAAGCCCAUUUACAAAGAAAAUAACUUGAAAAAGAAAGGCCAGUUUGUCAGCAAGCCCAUUUACGAAGACAUAUAUAAGUCCGCAGACCAGAUGUCCUCUACGUGGAGACUUUCCUUGCCCCCGGCGAUGAGGAGGUCGACCCUCUAUCAUUCAGAGUGUUGUGCUUGGCGCAAUGCAAGACUAAUCUGCUGCUUCUGGUCUUCUCCUCUUCCNNUGGACAAUAGCGUGCUCUUACUUAUGACAAAUGGGGUGCUCACGCUACACGUGCUUCCUUUCAAGACUCCGAGGCUGGGCUAUCGCCGUACCGCCAAUUCGUCCAUGGAUGUUUCUGUUGGCAAUUGCAUUUCCAGAAGUUGCUCCUGCUUGACACGACCAUCAUGGAGUUCUUUGAUGUCAACCUACCAUCCGAACGACGAUUGACGAGCCAGUUUUUCAUUGUCGAGGCAGCGGAUGGGGCGCUUGCAAUUGCAAGACUCUCCAAAUGGUACCCUGACUAUGGGUUCUUCGGUGUGGAUUUUGAUCCGGACACAGGGGACUCAUAUGCCCUCACUUAUUCCGUUCUGAGAAAUAACAAAUGGCACUCAGAGAAGAUCAUCCCAUUGCUGGCAAAGAGUGUGAUGCUGAUUGGUGUAGCCGGGGGAUACCUGCUUAUUAAGGAGUUAUACACCAACUCUUCACAAGAGGAGCAGUUCGGAUACUUUACGGUGGACGUGAAGAACUUGCAUGUUGAGCUGUUUGCUGGGCUUAGCGAAGACGUCUGGCCCAGUGAACUAUAUGCAGGUUUCCCACCAUCAUUAUGUGCGCCAACUAUAUGAGUUGGUUGAGCUGUCAGCAUACUCUUUGCUUACUCUUGUUCAAUUUGGUUACAGUGUGGCACAUCAAAGCAAUACUUGGUAGGGUUUUGCUUGAUGUUAACAUACAAUCGCUGCCCUAUGCCGGUAGCCCGGUAAUGCGUGAAAUGGAGUUUGCCGGAGCUGAAGUCAACGAGGAUGUCGAACAUCGAGCAGUCUGCGAAGGGAACUACGUUUUGUUCUAACGGCAGCUUCGCUCUUGGAGAAGAUGAACUUAUCAUGAAAUGGUCCAACUUAGCAGCAUUUCAAUUUGACCUCUUCACAUCUGACUCGAGCAAACCAUGGUCCUCUCGGAUGGAUUAUAUGAGCUGGUCAGUUUCCUUUAAUAUUUCAAUUGGUGCCAAGACAACAAAAUGUUGUAGAUACGGCAUCUAGCUUAAUACAUGAUGAUUGGUUGAUAAAAAUAACUUGCAUUCUGACUUUGAGUAAGCAGCCGGAGAGCUAAACGGAGUGUGGAAAUAACGA
RNAcentral lists this long non-coding RNA (1345 nucleotides) under Hordeum vulgare. Its description in RNAcentral is "long non-coding RNA (HVUL_LNC017409)". The record is from RNAcentral. Lineage: Eukaryota; Viridiplantae; Streptophyta; Magnoliopsida; Poales; Poaceae.